This 1027-nucleotide long non-coding RNA is filed under the name Mytilus galloprovincialis (Mediterranean mussel). The record is from RNAcentral. Lineage: Eukaryota; Metazoa; Mollusca; Bivalvia; Mytilida; Mytilidae.
AAUGUUUUUGUUUUCAGAUUGUGUUACCUACAACUUUGAUAGGCUGACGAAUGAAGGAGAAGUAAUAUGACAUUGCACGAUGAUUCAUGUCAAUGUGUUCGAACAACCUAAAAGCAAAGGAUGUUUUCUGAUCAGAAUAUGGUGAGAACAAAUUGCAAUUUAAGUAAUGUUUUGAUUUCUGAAAAUAGGAUAAUAAUUAUAAUAAAAGAAAAAGAAAGAAAAACAAAUGAAUGGGAGAAAUAUGGAUAUAACACUUAUUAGGUAUGUCUGUGUUGAGAUGGCACGGUACAAAAAAAAAAUCUGUGAUGGAAGCAGCUUUAUGUUCAAAUUUAAAGGAAUUCUAAUAAUUUGUCCGUAAUUUCAUGAUUUUUAAUAUUGGAUGUGUAUAUAUAUAUGUUAUAUUUGUUAUUCUCGUGGGAUUUUGUCUAUGUGUGUUACAUUUUAGUGUUAUGUCGUUGUUCUUAUAUUUAAUUGCGUUUCCCUCGGUUUUAGUUUGUUAUCCCGAUUUUGUUUUUUGUCCAUGGAUUUAUGAGUUUUGAACAGCGGUAUACUACUGUUGCCUUUAUUUAUAUAAUUUCACUGAAGUGUUGAGAUAUGUCACAAAAAUCUUUUUGUCUCGGGAGAUGAAAUAAUGGUUGCAAUAUUUUUGUCUUGUUUUAUAUAAUAAAUAUGUUGAAUGAUUUUGUAUACUAGUACAAAUGUAUACUAAUUUUAUGUAUGGUUAAAUUUUUAAAUUUAAAUUUCUUUGUCUACAGUUCGAGGGACACUGAUUCCCUAGUGGUUUUCCACGUGGAUUGUAGGCAAAGGGAUUUUUCUUUUUCAAAGUGUGACUAAUGCUGUCUUAAGUGCAAAUAAACAAGUUGUUAUUGGUUAAUAUAUUUUCAGCAGACAUGUGAAUAAUCAAGUGGAAAUACAAUUGUCAAUGUUCCUGAUUAGGAAGUAAAAAGUGUGUUUGAUUCAACAACAUUAAAGAAAGAGACAAGCCAGCAUAGUCUACACUUGGAGGUGAAGUCCCUUUGCUUACAAG